GAGUUUGAUCCUGGCUCAGAUUGAACGCUGGCGGCAUGCCUUACACAUGCAAGUCGAACGGCAGGCACGGGAGCUUGCUCCUGGUGGCGAGUGGCGAACGGGUGAGUAAUGCAUCGGAACGUAUCCUGGAGUGGGGGAUAACGUAGCGAAAGUUACGCUAAUACCGCAUAUUCUGUGAGCAGGAAAGCGGGGGACCUUCGGGCCUCGCGCUCUUGGAGCGGCCGAUGUCGGAUUAGCUAGUUGGUGAGGUAAAGGCUCACCAAGGCGACGAUCCGUAGCAGGUCUGAGAGGAUGAUCUGCCACACUGGAACUGAGACACGGUCCAGACUCCUACGGGAGGCAGCAGUGGGGAAUUUUGGACAAUGGGGGCAACCCUGAUCCAGCCAUGCCGCGUGAGUGAAGAAGGCCU
This 409-nucleotide ribosomal RNA is filed under the name bacterium enrichment culture clone ALO1_GLFRUDD03GZ7PK. Its description in RNAcentral is "bacterial SSU rRNA". It matches the Rfam family "Bacterial small subunit ribosomal RNA", at positions 9 to 417 of the family's 1533-position model. The record is from RNAcentral.